GCCAGGGUAGUUCAGUGGUAGAACGUUUGCAUGGUAAGCAAAAAGUCGGGAGUUCAAUUCUCCCCCCUGGCU
This 72-nucleotide transfer RNA is filed under the name Candidatus Azambacteria bacterium. Its description in RNAcentral is "tRNA-Thr". It matches the Rfam family "tRNA". Rfam says of the family: Transfer RNA (tRNA) molecules are approximately 80 nucleotides in length. Their secondary structure includes four short double-helical elements and three loops (D, anti-codon, and T loops). Further hydrogen bonds mediate the characteristic L-shaped molecular structure. tRNAs have two regions of fundamental functional importance: the anti-codon, which is responsible for specific mRNA codon recognition, and the 3' end, to which the tRNAs corresponding amino acid is attached (by aminoacyl-tRNA synthetases). tRNAs cope with the degeneracy of the genetic code in two manners: having more than one tRNA (with a specific anti-codon) for a particular amino acid; and 'wobble' base-pairing, i.e. permitting non-standard base-pairing at the 3rd anti-codon position. The record is from RNAcentral. Lineage: Bacteria; Candidatus Azamiibacteriota.